RNAcentral lists this ribosomal RNA (289 nucleotides) under uncultured Nakamurella sp. RNAcentral's name for it is "partial 16S ribosomal RNA". Lineage: Bacteria; Bacillati; Actinomycetota; Actinomycetes; Nakamurellales; Nakamurellaceae. The record is from RNAcentral.
CUACCCGGGUAUCUAAUCCUGUUCGCUCCCCACGCUUUCGCUCCUCAGCGUCAGUAUCGGCCCAGAGUCCCGCCUUCGCCACCGGUGUUCCUCCUGAUAUCUGCGCAUUUCACCGCUACACCAGGAAUUCCAGACUCCCCUACCGAACUCUAGUCUGCCCGUAUCGAAUGCAGGCCCGGGGUUGAGCCCCGGGUUUUCACAUUCGACGCGACAAACCGCCUACGAGCUCUUUACGCCCAAUAAUUCCGGACAACGCUUGCACCCUACGUAUUACCGCGGCUGCUGGCAC